RNAcentral lists this long non-coding RNA (1314 nucleotides) under Podarcis lilfordi (Lilford's wall lizard). The record is from RNAcentral. Lineage: Eukaryota; Metazoa; Chordata; Lepidosauria; Squamata; Lacertidae.
GCGCAUGAUACACGUCAAAAUCCGAGCCUCCAAAACCGAUCAACUAGGUAGGGGUUCCACGCUAAGUCUAGCCUCCUCCCCACACACUGAACCAUGCCUUGUCUCGGACACACGCAAAUUCCUGAAGGUACACCCUCCAGGACCAGGCCCCCUCCUCAUUCACGCAUCAGGCUGCCCCAUGACCCGUUGCCAAUUUGUCUCAAUAUUGCGUAAGGCCAUCCAUGCUUGUGGAGGCAACCCGGCACAAUUUUCUGGGCAUUCCUUUUGUAUCGGUGCAGCAACCACAGCAGCUGCAAGCGGCCUCCCGGCAGAACACAUAAAAACAAUGGGGCGGUGGCGUUCAGCUGCCUUCAAAGGCUACAUUAGAGACAACCAACAGGCACUGACAGAUACCAUAUAAUCCUUUCUUUCAGGCUCGACCCCCAAACAUGUGUGGAUCUUCGGCCACAGCAUAGUGCAUUGGACGGCCGCCCAUGCCGCCACCGGUCCAUUCGGAGAACAUCUGGGCCUGCAGCCAAAGGUCUCCAUUUCCUGGUUCGGACAACGUGGAAUGCGAUGGGAUUCCCUGCUCCCUCGGUUGCGUCACGAGCUUGCGUACCGCCACCCGCCAAAUGCGGUUGUGCUCCACCUCGGCGAAAAUGACUUGGUCAUUCGUAAAAGCAUAAUUCUUAUCAAAACUGCGAUUGCAGACCUGGAAAGCGUACAUGCCACUCACCCCAAUAUCACGAUUUUCUGGUCAGAACUUCUGCCACGCUUACAUUGGCGUGGCAACAGCAAACCCACUAGAGGUAAUUACACCAUUGAAAAAAUCAAUAGGGCAGUGCGCUCUGCAACCACACGCAUGGGAGGUCGGGUCGUGAAACACCCCAACAUUAAAGUCUACAUGAAGGAGCUAUUUAGGCCCGAUGGCGUGCACCUAUUGGACCUUGGAAACGAGCAUUGGCUGAGCAACAUCAGGCAUGGCCUGAUUGACUGGCGGAUGGUGAAGGGUCUUUUCAGAUGUAGGUAGUCUUGGCGGCGAGAUGGCAAUCUUUGCGGUCUCGGGUGGCGGUAUCAGGCCUUGGGCGGAAUCCUUUUGUCCAUCUUCCUCUUGCAGUGGCGAUACCAGGGUUCCCCGUUAAAGGGGUUUCUGAAGGCAGGCUUUGACCGUACGCCGAAAGGUCGUCAUUGCUCUCCCCUGCGGCGGCGGCGUAACGGGGGCGGCUAUCUCUGCUUGAACAUAUGUUCUCCAGAGCCGGCCCAUCCCCCACACAAACACUGGAUAACCCUGAUGCUCCCUAGGUCCCCGGCUGGGGACUGGGGAGGGAGAACGCC